Solanum dulcamara is the source of this 1124-nucleotide long non-coding RNA. RefSeq lists it as uncharacterized. NCBI's taxonomy places the organism in Eukaryota, Viridiplantae, Streptophyta, Magnoliopsida, Solanales, Solanaceae. The transcript has 2 exons. The record is from RefSeq and is a predicted model, not a curated record.
ACCUCUACGUCUCCUAACCGACCCGUUUCCUACACUCAAUUACAACACACAACAACAACAAUUGCCCAUUUAUUCAGCAGCCCAAUCCCAAUUUCCCAAUUCCCCACAAAUACAACAGUGACCCAGCAGCCCAAAAUAACCUCUCCCUAGUCCUUAUAGAGCAUCCGCGUACACCCAAAGCGUAUGUGCAUACGUGUAUAUCCCUUCGUCGUCUCCUCCAACGACUCCCGACCAACAGUACGCUUAGCCGUUCCCCCCACCCCGCAAUCUCGUCCUUUGGCUCGUGAGAUUGAACCUUCGAGAAGCUUCUAUUCAAUCCUAUCCAUCCACCUCGUCUCUCGUUUCGUCCGAAUCCGUUGAGAGAUGAAUUUUUUUGAGGGGAAUAUGGAAUAAUUCAUAUCUUGUAGAAGAAAUUCGAAUUUCGAACUGUGGUUUCACUGUAUCUAGUUGAAUGUGAUUGAGCUAAUGUAGCCAAAUUUUCAGUGCACUGCUAAGCAGUAUCCUCAGCUUGUUUGUUGUAAAUAUUGGUUGAUAAUUUGGCUAUGUUUUGCUAUCAUCUUACUUGUUUCUAAGGAUCUCUCCAUUGUGCUUUGGUUUAAAUAUUUAUAUCUUAUGAAUAUGUGUUGACAGUGUGCAUUUAAUUUCAUUCCUUCAUAAAUCUAAUACGCCACCCUCAUGCUUUCAAUUUGAUUCUUGCUUGCUUAGAUAUACCCCUGAAUGUAAAUAUUAAUCCUUUUUUUUUUCUUUGCAUGCAUCUGCCCAUCCCGAGUCAACUGGACUCUUUGCCUUUUUUUUGCAUUUCGCUUUGGGCCACGGAGGCCCAAACUCAACCUAAAGGUCCCGAAAGCUGAUGAACAGGUCCUGGAAGCUGAUAUUACAGAUUUAUACACAGGAGAUCGGCUAAAAGCCCAAAAGACAGCAACCAGGGGAAAUGGGCUCAAGUUUCACUCCAGGCCAGCAGAAAUUGAAAUUAGGCCUAAUUUUGAUUUGUUUUUAAUUUUGUUAUUUCUUUUCUAUUUAAUUAUGUAAUUGCUUAGUUGCGAUUAUUUGUUUAAGUUUAAUUUUUAGAUUAGUCUAUUUAAAUCCCGAGGAACUAAUUUCUUUUUAUAAGAUUGCAUUUUUUA